Molecule: long non-coding RNA, 1814 nt
Organism: Lolium perenne
Lineage: Eukaryota; Viridiplantae; Streptophyta; Magnoliopsida; Poales; Poaceae
Source: RefSeq, a predicted model, not a curated record
UUGGUCGGUGUGGGUUGUGCUGUAAACCUUGUAUCAUCGAGUUUAUAAGCUUUUCGACCUUUUUCUUACUUUCCGAACAAAUCUAAGUCGACGUCUGGGCCGUCAGUAUAGAGGCUCACAUUCAAUAUCCAGCCCUGGCCUGGCCCAGUAAGGCACCAUGAUUUCACGGGAAACGGGAGAAUGCGGCCCAUGCGAAUGGAGGUCUGCUUCCUCUGAGCGUGUAGGCAUUUCGCCGAGCGGCUGACAGGCAGCCGACGGCGGGAAUCGGGACGGCGGUGAGCAUCGCAGCGCAGCGCACCUCACCGUAGUAUAUCGGCGUAGGCGGACGGAGGCCACGCCGAGGAUGGAUUUGGUCGGAGCAUGGCCUUCGCGCAUCCCCCGGUCCUCUCCUGCUGGGGAUCCCCCGUCGCGCGCACCGCUGGCGAUUUCGAAGCCGGCGAGCGGUGAAUUCCAUCGGUAUUGGGGCUAUCCUCAGGGGAAGAGAUGGUUAAGUUAUGAACCAUCACUUCUUGACAGCUAUCAAACUUCAGAUGACACUGGGAGCUGUUGACGAUGCUGAUACCAGUUACUCUGACAUUGGAACUACCAUAAAACCUCAGGGCCUGCAUCAGAGUACACAGCCGUAUCCGCUUAAAUACUUCUGGUGCAAAUGUUGAUUACUUCGGGACGCGGCACCUUCAGAAGCAGUGCUGGUUACCUGAGUGUCAUCUGUCACUCCAUCACCCUUUGCUCCAAAAGCAACCACGUUGAAGGCUGUGUCCUGCGAUGGCGCUUCUGGUGGCGGCAGAGGCGGUGCUUGUGGAGGUGGCGGUGACGACGGCAGAGGUGAUGCUUGUGGUGGCGGCGAUGGCGGCAGAGGUGGUGGCGGACUUGGUGGUGUAUAACAGUUUCCACCACCUGGACUUGGUGUUGGCACUGCUGGACUCGGGCUGAUGGGCACGCUCGGGCCUGUGCUUGGACUCGGCUGGUAUCGUUUGUGGGAAGAACCGCCGUUCUUCCCUUUUCCUUUGCUUCUGAACAUGGUGGUGGAGGGUCCGUUCUUCUGCCUCCAGUGGCUGCCGCUUCUCGCCUCGCAGAUGCUAACGCCGGAGCUCAGAGCAAGCGAGACAAAGAUAAGCAGGAUGGCGAGACCUUUCGACCCAAGGCUCAUCUUCGUGCCUGCAACUUUGUAUCUGUCUGCAGUUCGUCGAUGGUGGCAGUGUCUGUGUGUGCUUGGGGCUGGAAGGAAGCUGGGCAGGGGAUAGACAGAGAGUGUGCGUGUGGUUUUGAAGAGGGAAGGAGAAAUUUAAAUAGCCAGCUCCAUGGAUGUCUCGUCCUCAAGGUUGGGACAAAGGAAUGGAGAUAACGGAAGGUACCAGCCCGAGUGAGUCACGUGCAUGCGUGUGACGGGAGGCGAUGAAUGGAUUGAUGAACUGCGAUCUUGCAAACUGCACGGAGAAUUUAAGUUGUUGUUUCUGUAGUUUCUUGCUCUUGUGCAUCACCAGCACAGUUGUAUGGUGGUGAUCGUCUUGUGACAGGUUUUGGCUGGCUCAUCCCCAAAUGCCAUAACCCAGAAGGAAUAGAAGUAUUGAACAGACAAUGUAAUAGCUUGUCUGCAUGCACUACUAAUGGUUCACGGGGUAGGGGAGAGUUAUAGAAGCCUUUGUACCUAUUCGAUCCAUUUGACACUAGUUUGGUGCAAGACGCAAUGCCCCGGGUGAUUACACUGUCUCCUGGGCUCACACUUGUGCAGUUAGUUUCAUUGUCAGAGUAUUCUUUGUAGCAGAUUGUGACCACAAAUUCAGUAUAUAUAUAUACUUAGCUAUGUGUGGACA